Molecule: RNA transcript, 6034 nt
Organism: Hemicordylus capensis (graceful crag lizard)
Lineage: Eukaryota; Metazoa; Chordata; Lepidosauria; Squamata; Cordylidae
Gene name: RCC1-like G exchanging factor-like protein
Exons: 14
Source: RefSeq, a predicted model, not a curated record
UCUCAAACGGACGUUUUCCAUCUCCGGCUACUGCGCAUGUCCCUUUUAAAAAUAAUUUCCAUGGUUACUGGAAUCCGUUCUUGCAGUAGCCUCUGCGCCUGCGCAGACCGAGCUCCAGCCUCCGUUGUCCUGGCGCAGAGGGGGGAGGAGUAGCUAAGUGGGCAAGAUGGCGCUGCCCAUGCUGCAGGUGUCUCUGAUGUGAGAGUCUGUCAGAGCCGGGAAAGCGGCAGUUGGGGGGCAAGCUUGGGCCCCCUUGGCUGGAGGGCUGGGCUGUUCCCAGCCCCCCAGGAAGGUGUCACACAGGGCUGUGCUGCAGGGACCCAGCCUCUAGGGGGGUUCCUGGGGGUGGGUCUCCGUGGGGGAGGAGAGUUUUUGUGGGCCCCCAAAGAACGCUAUGGGGCUUCGGUGGGGGGUGCCUGCUGGGUCCCCAAAAGGGUUGCCUUGGGUGGCGCUGGGGAAGGUAUUGGGGUCUCCCUGGGGGGUGCCCUUUGGGUUGAAAGUGGGAUUUUUUUCAGGCCCCCCAAGCAGAGUGCAGGGUUCCCGCCCCACAAGAGCCUCACUAGGUGUGCCCCGCAGCAACUUCCUCUGCUCUCCUAGGAAGCUCCCCUCUUUGGGGGGGCUCUCUCGUGGCUUGGCCAAAGCAGCCGGGACCAAGAGCACCCGGGACCUCCGAGAAGCUGACGAGGCGGCUCCCAUCUUCCAAUAUGUGGGGAAGCGAGCCCCGAGGAAAGACCGUGUCUAUGUGUGGGGCUUCUCCUACUCAGGGGCCUUGGGGGUCCCUUCCUUCGUCGUGCCCGAUGUGGGCUGGAAGAAACGGCGGAGGAUCCAGCUGACUCCAUAUCGGCUGGAUGUGGAGGAGAAGAUUAGCUCUACUGCCUGCGGCUACGGAUUCACGCUUCUGUCCUCCAGAACCACCGAUAUUACCAAAGUCUGGGGAAUGGGGUUAAAUAAAGAUUCGCAGAUUGGAUUUCACCCAAGCAGGAAAGAUCGGGCAAAAGGCUACGAAUAUGUCUUGGAGCCAAGCCCUGUGCCGCUGCCACUGGAUAAGCCGCAGCAGACCCGGGUUAUGCAGGUAUCCUGCGGAAGAGCGCACUCCUUGGUGCUGACGGACACAGAAGGAGUCUUCAGCAUGGGGAAUAAUUCCUAUGGUCAGUGUGGCCGGAAGGUGGUCGAAGGCGAAAUCUACAGCGAAAGCAAGCUGAUUUACAGAUUGCAAGAGUUUGAAAACCGAGUCGUCCAGGUUGCAUGUGGGCAGGACCACAGCCUUUUCAGAACAGAGAAAGGAGAAGUCUAUUCCUGUGGGUGGGGAGUCGACGGCCAGACGGGCCUCGGCCAUUACGACAUUGCCAGCACCCCCGCCAAACUGGGCGGCGACAUCUCGGGUGUUCCCAUUGCCCAGGUGGCCACGUAUGGAGACUGCUGCCUUGCCGUGUCUGAGGAUGGGGACCUCUUUGGCUGGGGGAACUCGGAAUACCUGCAGCUGGCUGCUGUUACGGAGCUGACCCAGGUGAACGUUCCACGACACCUUCCGUUCAAGGUUGGAAGGGUGAAGGAGGUCUGCUGUGGAGGGACCAUCAACGCUCUCCUCAACGAGGAAGGCCACGUCUUCGUGUGGGGCUACGGCAUCCUUGGGAAAGGGCCGAAGCUUUCGGAAGCAGCGACUCCCGAAAUGAUCCCGCCCGUCCUCUUCGGCUCGUUGGGCUUCAGCCCGGAUAUCUGCGUGGCUCGGAUCCGUUGCGGACUCAGCCAGUUCGCUGCCAUCACCAACCGAGGAGAGCUCUUCGUGUGGGGCAAGAACGUGAGAGGCUGUCUGGGGAUUGGCCGAAUGGAAGACCAGUACUUCCCGUGGAGGGUGACUGUACCAGGAGAAGUGGUGGACGUUGCCUGUGGAGUCGACCACAUGGUUACUCGGGUGAAAUCCUUUAUUUAAGCAGCACUUGGGCGCCACAACAGAGAGGACAAAACCAGAACUGUUUCGGGCCUUGGUGGCUUUGUCAGCCAUCUGGGGCUGGCGCAGCUUCUCCCAGAGUUCCUUGCAAACAGACCAGCAGGAGGCACGGUGUAUCGGUGGCCGAAUCCCCUUCGAAGUGGAUGGUUCCCUGCGAGCGAGAUGCCUAGUUUUUUGCAAGCAGUGGCUGACAGAGACGGAGUGAUUAAUGUCAGAGGGAAGUGCCUAGAGGAAAAUGUUGCGGCUUCUUGGGGGAAUUCCGAAUAUUAAAAGACGACAAGGAAUGGAGAAUGUAAUUUGGUUUUCGAUCAGCGUGGAGAGAUUGGGCUGAGAAAUCAUUUCCCCUCAGAACACCAGAGCUUAAGUCAUCCAGCUGAAAUCCGACUGACUAGAUUGCAAACACACCAAAACAGGAAGCACAGCUUCAGCCGGCACAAGAGCAGCAUACAGAACUCAUUGCCACAAGAUGUGAGGAAGCCAAUUAACAGACCCUCUGACAAGGAAAUAUGCACAUCUCUGACAACGAGGGAUUAGUUUACGACCCCUAAGGUUUUUAACAUCCGAUAAUCAGAUCAACAAUUCCAAAAUGACAAGAUGUCCAAAUAGCCCACCAGAGGCCUCUGGGAAGCCCACAGACAGGAGAGGAAGGCCCCCUCUCCUGCAACUGGUAUCUGGAGACAUCCUGCCUUUGAACCUGGAGGAAACCCAUAGCCAUCAGGGCUAGUAAUCAUCGACAGACUUCUCCUCCAUGGAUUGGUCUAAGCCCUGCUUAAGGCCAUCCAAGCCGGUGGCCACCACCACAUCCUGUGGCAGAGAACUCCACAGAUAAAUUAUGGUUCUAGUGCUGUGAGAGAGGGAGGAAAAUCUCUCUCUCUCUCCACACCAUGCAGAAUUUGAGAAACCUCUAUUAUGUCCCACCUUAAUCGCCUUCUUUAAAAUGAAGAACUCCCAGAUGUUGCAGCCUUGCCUCAUAAGGAAGGUGCUACAGACUCCUGAUCACACCAGCCCAGUGGCUCAUAGCCAGCCCCUGAAGGACAAAGUGAGGGCUCCUUAGGGUCCUCAGCACUACUGAGCAAGGACAUGGCCAGGAUCCACUUUCCCUGCAAAGAAAUGCAGUCUGCUACAGACCACUGCUGGAGCGACGUCCGUCUGAAAGCUCUUCGCUCCAACUCCCUUGAUUGCUCUCGUCCUGAACCACCGACGCCCGACCUCAGCUCGUGCCUGCUCUCAGAUUUAUCUCUUGCAACACUGAGAUCCCACUCACCCUCCAAGGAGCCCAGAGCAGUAUCCGUGCUCAUGCUUAGCCUCACAACAACCCUGCAAGGUAGGCGAGGCCGAGAGAGAGACGCGACUGGCUCAGAGUCACCCAGAGAGUUGCAUGGCCAAUUGAGGAUUUGAACUCGGGUCUCGCCAAUCCCAGUCCAACACUCCACGCCACACUGGCCCAUACGGACCUGACCCCAACCUCCGCUUGUGCUUGUUCCCACGUGGACUCAAUCCUUCAACGUUUGACCUCAAACAAGACUUUUACUUUGGUCUGCUCCCUUGCAGUCUGGUUUCUCUAGCUCCUGCCCUCAACUUCACAUGGUUCAGCGCCUACUCACAUGUGAUCAGCACUCCUCGUCCCCAGGAGACAUGAUAAUGGGGAAGGCACUCUUUAUGCAGGGGGCCACUGCAGAGUCGGCCCUGACCUGCUGCCUACCCUUCUUAAGUGCCGAAAGCCUCAGGAAAGAAAAUGGCCGCCGUUGAAAGGAGAAUACGGCCCUUCGGGGGCCCUGAUCCCAUCUCGAUGAAUACUGCUAACAGAGUACAAAUUUAGUUAUUUUGUUGUUUUCAUCCCUUCUUUUCUCCACGCUGUUUUGGGGUAGUAUCAUGACAACUAUUAAACAAGCUGGCAUGUCUAAGCCAAAGUUUGGCAUUUUCCAGCCCAAGUUCUCAAUGUGGUCUGGACGGCAAAAGGUGUGAGAAAAUGGUUCCCUGUCCCCAAGGGGCUUGCAGUCUAAAAGAGAGCCAACGAAAAGCCACUCGCACAAGAGAGACACCAGCAGUGGCCCGCGGAGGGGCGCUUUGCUGGGCUGGAUAGGGCCAGUUGCUCUCCCCCGGCUAAAUACGAGAGAGCCGCCAUUUUGAAAAGGCGCCCACUCUUGGCCCAGUGAGCAGCUGCCAUUUAACGAGGCCGACCCUUGCCUGAGGGGGAGAAACUCCUAUUUUAUUUAUGGAGCACCUAUCCAGCCUGCUUUUCCACAGAAAAACUCCCACAGCAGUUUCCAUGCCAGCAGCCAUGAAAAGAUGGUUCCCUGCCCCAAAGAGGCUCCCAAUCUAAAAAGAAACACCAGGGAGACACCAGCAACAGUAACUGAAGGUAUGUUGUUCAGGGCUGAAUAGGGACAUUUGCUCUGUCUGUGUUCAAUACAAAGGUCUCCACUAAAAGAGUGCCCCAUUAGUAAGGGGUUCUCCCUUUUUAUCAGCACAACAACCCUGUAAGGUAGAUUAGAUGGAGAGUGAGUGGCAGGCCCAAGUCACCCAGUGAGUUUCAGGCUGAGAGAGGAUUUGAACCUGCAUCUCCCAACGUCUAAAAAUAAAUAUUUUAAAAAUAAAACAAAGUAAAAUAAAAAAGACUAUGCCCUUAUCUCCUUGAAGGAAGGAAAGGAUCAGAACAUUCUUAAUUUUUUUUUUUUUUUAAAGCAAAGUUCCUAGUCAACUCAAGUUAAAGGGAAGGCGGGGAAGGGGGAUUUAUUCCUGGUCUGCAGUAUAAAACUCAAUACAGACUACCCACAUUUAUCCAAAUUGAAGGCGACUCUGAAAAACCCUCAUCUUGGAUUGAGGAAAACACAACAGCUGCCAAGUUAGGCUGUUUAGAAUCAGAGAUUCCAGGAAGGUUGUAAACUGAAUAGUCCAGGCUUGCAAGCAAGUCCACAAAAGUUGAUAUCCCAUAAAAAUAUCUAUCAACACAUCUCACCAUUUGCCCGUCCCGCCUUAAGUUGGUUUGUGGCAUCCGAGGACCACAGAAGCACACAAUCCAUACUUGCCAGUGAUACAGUCUAGGAAUUUCUUGACCUCGAUUCUGUUACACUGUAUUAGGUUUCCCUUCUAGGAUGGGUCACAGGCCUGCUCAACUUAGCCCCCCCAACAGCUGUUUUUGAACUACAACUCCCAUAAUCCCUGCCAUUUCCCUCCCACAAGGAUCACACCCAUUUAUGACAGGUAGUAACAAUUCUUCUCAAGAACCCUGCGAGGCGGGUCACUAAGACUCCCAUUUUAUGGGCUGUCAGCCAAGAUGGCCAAACUGUGGCUUGGGGCGAGAAUGAAAAACCGGAACAGAUGUGAUCAGGCUUUCUCCAGCUGAAUAAUCCAAGUUCUCUCGACAGAAGUCUCCUGUUUCAGAGAUUCGUGGUGUGAACAACAACUGUGCGAGGAUAUAACCAGACACUGCUCUGGAACACAGCAUUUCAGACAAAUGACAUAUUUAAAUGUGACCAGUGGCGUUUUUAUCCGAGUCCCAAAAAGGGACCAGAUUAACAACGCCAUCCCGUCUGUCACCCUCCAUCGACAAGGAGGAACUGUCUUGUUCAAAAAUAUUUAGUGUGGUAUUUUAGGCUGAAUGCCCUGUCUGUCGGGUUAUUCGAGAUAAGUUAUAAACAAGUUGAACGACUGUCAAGGCCCAGAUAGAGACGCCCCCCCCCAUGCAAUAAAGUCAAGAUUAGGGAGAAUUAGGUGACAAAUAUACCCCUUCAUUGAGGAGCAAAGAAAGAACCUUGCCUUGGGUUUCCAAAUUAAUCUGCAAUGCAAUUUUAAAACAGCACACAAGCUUCUCCCCGCUGUCUCUGUGGGCCACCGAGGCUGUGGAGUUAUUAAAAACGAAAUCCGAAGCACGAUCCAAGAGGCAAAGUGAAUGCACUUAAUUGUGGAAGCCAAGUUUAGGCAGGAUUUCUCUGAAGCCAACUUCCUCGCCUCUCUGCAUUAACUAACAAGGGAAAACAGGGUGGGGAAUAAACAAUUCUGUAUUUACUCUCCAUUUGCAAUUUAAGUUAUUUUUCCUGGAAGAGGGGACCAGUGGGGAGAACCCAGGCUCACUGGCCUCAAGGA